RNAcentral lists this ribosomal RNA (468 nucleotides) under uncultured bacterium. RNAcentral's name for it is "partial 16S ribosomal RNA". It matches the Rfam family "Bacterial small subunit ribosomal RNA", at positions 28 to 507 of the family's 1533-position model. The record is from RNAcentral.
GACGAACGCUGGCGGCGUGCUUAACACAUGCAAGUCGAACGGAAAGGCCCUGCUUUUGUGGUGUGCUCGAGUGGCGAACGCGUGAGUAACACGUGAGUAACCUGCCCUUGACUUUGGUAUAACUUCAGGAAACUGGGGCUACUACCGUACAGGAGCUCCUGCUGCAUGGUGGGGGUUGGAAAGUUUCGGCGGUUGGGGAUGGACUCGCGGCUUAUCAGCUUGUUGGUGGGGUAGUGGCUUACCAAGGCUUUGACGGGUAGCCGGCCUGAGAGGGUGACCGGCCACAUUGGGACUGAGAUACGGCCCAGACUCCUACGGGAGGCAGCAGUGGGGAAUAUUGCACAAUGGGCGGAAGCCUGAUGCAGCAACGCCGCGUGCGGGAUGACGGCCUUCGGGUUGUAAACCGCUUUCGCCUGUGACGAAGCGUGAGUGACGGUAAUGGGUAAAGAAGCACCGGCUAACUACGUG